Molecule: ribosomal RNA, 447 nt
Filed under: uncultured bacterium
Lineage: Bacteria
Description: bacterial SSU rRNA
Rfam family: Bacterial small subunit ribosomal RNA
Source: RNAcentral
UGGGGAAUCUUGGACAAUGGGCGCAAGCCUGAUCCAGCCAUGCCGCGUGGAUGAUGAAGGCCUUAGGGUUGUAAAAUCCUUUCGUGGGGGACGAUAAUGACGGUACCCCAAGAAGAAGCUCCGGCUAACUUCGUGCCAGCAGCCGCGGUAAUACGAAGGGGGCUAGCGUUGUUCGGAUUUACUGGGCGUAAAGCGCGUGUAGGCGGGUCGUUAAGUUGGGGGUGAAAUCCCGAGGCUCAACCUCGGAACUGCCUUCAAAACUGGCGACCUGGACUCAAGCAGAGGCAAGUGGAAUUGCGAGUGUAGAGGUGAAAUUCGUAGAUAUUAGCAGGAACACCGGUGGCGAAGGCGGCUAUCUGGACGACAACUGACGCUGAGGCGCGAAAGCGUGGGGAUCAAACAGGAUUAGAUACCCUUGUAGUCCCUGAGCGGGCUGGCAAGGCGCAU